RNAcentral lists this ribosomal RNA (206 nucleotides) under uncultured bacterium. RNAcentral's name for it is "partial 16S ribosomal RNA". It matches the Rfam family "Bacterial small subunit ribosomal RNA", at positions 568 to 774 of the family's 1533-position model. The record is from RNAcentral.
CUCGUAGGUGGCCAACUAAGUCAGACGUGAAAUCCCUCGGCUUAACCGGGGAACUGCGUCUGAUACUGGAUGGCUUGAGAUCGGGAGAGGGAUGCGGAAUUCCAGGUGUAGCGGUGAAAUGCGUAGAUAUCUGGAGGAACACCGGUGGCGAAGGCGGCAUCCUGGACCGACACUGACGCUGAGGAGCGAAAGCCAGGGAGCAAACG